GCAUAUCACAUUGAAACACUGGUUCUCUUACAAUCACUGAAGUUAAGCAGCAUUGAGCCUGGUCAGCACCUAAAUGGGUGACCACUUGGGAGUACCAGGU
Non-coding RNA from Acanthosepion pharaonis, 100 nucleotides. NCBI's taxonomy places the organism in Eukaryota, Metazoa, Mollusca, Cephalopoda, Sepiida, Sepiidae. The record is from the annotation of a GenBank genome assembly.